Molecule: long non-coding RNA, 128 nt
Organism: Ipomoea nil (Japanese morning glory)
Lineage: Eukaryota; Viridiplantae; Streptophyta; Magnoliopsida; Solanales; Convolvulaceae
Exons: 2
Source: RefSeq, a predicted model, not a curated record
UUUAUUUCCUAGCACUAUAAAUUAGAACCUUGAGAUGUUAGGAAAUAAAUAAUUAUAGAAAAUGAGAUAUUGUUGAUAUGAUUGUGCCUUUGAUUUUAUUCUUGUCAAAUCCCUUGAGUUAAGCCUUU